AUUUAGGGACUUGUUACCCAUCAACUCAUUGAGAGUUGUAUAAUAUAUAUUAUAUACAUUAGGUAUUUUCAUUGUUCUAAUAUCAGGUAGUAUUCAAUUAGGGUGUACGUAUUACAAUCGUACAAGUGUUAUUUGGUGAAGGGGUUCAUACUAAUCUAGGUGUAGUUUGUACUUCCUAUAUUAGAGGUACUCAUUUGUAAAAAUUUUCUAACCUCAUUCACAUUAUUGUUACAUUAUUUAAUUGUAUAAAUCUGUAAAUGACUUUCACUAGUAUCUACCAUUUCUUGUCAUUUUAGAGUCACAUACUAGUCACUUGUUUUAACUCAGAGAUUGUGAAUAUCUAGUAGUUAUAUUUAAUAAAUAUAUACAUUUAUUGUGAA
This is a long non-coding RNA of Diabrotica virgifera virgifera (western corn rootworm), 380 nucleotides long. RefSeq lists it as uncharacterized. The record is from RefSeq and is a predicted model, not a curated record. The transcript has 2 exons. NCBI's taxonomy places the organism in Eukaryota, Metazoa, Arthropoda, Insecta, Coleoptera, Chrysomelidae.